Molecule: transfer RNA, 80 nt
Filed under: Penicillium griseofulvum
Lineage: Eukaryota; Fungi; Ascomycota; Eurotiomycetes; Eurotiales; Aspergillaceae
Rfam family: tRNA
About the family: Transfer RNA (tRNA) molecules are approximately 80 nucleotides in length. Their secondary structure includes four short double-helical elements and three loops (D, anti-codon, and T loops).
Source: Rfam by way of RNAcentral
GCUUUGGUAGUUCAGUGGUAGAAUACUACUCUUCCAUUAUGUGAUAAGUAGUGGCCGGGGUUCGAUUCCCCGUCAAUGCA